RNAcentral lists this ribosomal RNA (253 nucleotides) under uncultured bacterium. RNAcentral describes it as "partial 16S ribosomal RNA". It matches the Rfam family "Bacterial small subunit ribosomal RNA", at positions 524 to 776 of the family's 1533-position model. The record is from RNAcentral.
UACGUAGGGUGCGAGCGUUAAUCGGAAUUACUGGGCGUAAAGCGUGCGCAGGCGGCUUCGCAAGUCAGACGUGAAAUCCCCGGGCUCAACUUGGGAAUGGCGUUUGAAACUACGAGGCUGGAGUGUGGCAGAGGGAGGUGGAAUUCCACGUGUAGCGGUGAAAUGCGUAGAGAUGUGGAGGAACACCGAUGGCGAAGGCAGCCUCCUGGGCCAACACUGACGCUCAUGCACGAAAGCGUGGGGAGCAAACAGG